GAAAUGCGAUACGUAGUGCGAAUUGCAGAAUUCAGUGAAUCAUCAAAUUCUUGAACGCAAAUUGCGCUUCCGGGAUAGGCCUGGGAGCACGCUUCUUUGAGUAUCGGUUCACCUCUCCUCGACUGCGUUUUCGUAGUCGGAUACUGAGCGUCACAGCCUCGUGUGCUUGGGCAACCAAGUGCGCUGUGUCGCUUCAAGCAUAGAGCUUUAACCAAGCCAUCACACAAACCCCCGUCGCUAGGACGGACACUGGGUACACACCCCAUAUUGUCCGUCAUUCAACUGGCAACGAGGGUUGAGCGGCUUGCGUAAAAGCAUCCGUUUUGUCUCGAGCGGUUCAGAGCCAUUCGAGAUGAACAACAUACCAACGAAAUAGAUCUCAGAUGAAGCGAGAAAACCC
Molecule: unclassified non-coding RNA, 400 nt
Filed under: uncultured fungus
Lineage: Eukaryota; Fungi
Description: sequence contains ITS1
Rfam family: 5.8S ribosomal RNA (bases 1-106)
Source: RNAcentral